GCUCAGGAUGAACGCUAGCUACAGGCUUAACACAUGCAAGUCGAGGGGUAGCAGGGUAGCAAUACCGCUGACGACCGGCGCACGGGUGAGUAACACGUAUCCAACCUUCCCAUUACUCUGGGAUAGCCUUUCGAAAGAAAGAUUAAUACCGGAUAGUACAAUGAAUAGGCAUCUAUUUAUUGUUAAAGAUUUAUUGGUAAUGGAUGGGGAUGCGUUCCAUUAGAUUGUUGGUGAGGUAACGGCUCACCAAGUCUUCGAUGGAUAGGGGUUCUGAGAGGAAGGUCCCCCACAUUGGUACUGAGACACGGACCAAACUCCUACGGGAGGCAGCAGUGAGGAAUA
RNAcentral lists this ribosomal RNA (342 nucleotides) under uncultured Bacteroidota bacterium. RNAcentral describes it as "bacterial SSU rRNA". It matches the Rfam family "Bacterial small subunit ribosomal RNA", at positions 22 to 363 of the family's 1533-position model. Lineage: Bacteria; Pseudomonadati; Bacteroidota. The record is from RNAcentral.